Molecule: long non-coding RNA, 888 nt
Filed under: Homo sapiens (human)
Lineage: Eukaryota; Metazoa; Chordata; Mammalia; Primates; Hominidae
Description: non-protein coding lnc-ROCK2-10:1
Source: RNAcentral
GCAUUUCCGCGUUCUUGCCACCCGAUAGUUUAGCCGCCGCCGGGAGCCGCCCUGGAAGUCCGGCUUUUCCACGGGUUGGGUGGACCGAGAGGCAAAUGGCCCCGGGGGAUGGGCCAUUCUGCCGGGAUUUUUCCCUCCCUGCAAGUGUUUUAGUUUCUCUCACUAAGCAUUUCAGGAGUUAAAGCCUCCUGCUUAAGGGCUGAGUGCACCCUCCCGACUUACAGGUGGGGAACCAGGCUGGAGAGACUUUCUGGGACCAGAGCCCCAGGGUCGCCUCAUUUGUGCCCUUUCAGAGCACGCGGCCUGUCUCCAGCCUGGGACUGAAGGCUUCCCUCCUAGCGGCGUGGGCCCUGAGGGGCCACCGGAAGCCUUGAACUUGAGCACUUCACAGUGAAACUGUUUCUUAAGGAUUUCUCCUGAUAAAGUAACUUGGACGUGGCCGUCUAAGCCACAAACUGAGGGAAAGGGAAGGACGCAUUUUCCAACCUCUGAAAAUCGCCUGUGUAUUAGGGCCUGGUUAUGAAGCAGGCAAAAAAGCACCAAAAUGCAAUGCCAGAAUCCACGAUCCCUGGUUUUGUGCCAUAAAUCUCAGCCGGGAAGUGUGAGGGACGGGAGCUGGGUCAGCUUCGGAGUUCGGAAUUCUGGCCGAGGCUCUUUCUCUCCAGCCUCACCGGCCCAUCACCUCCGCCUAUGGAAAAAAAAAAACAGGUGCUGAGUCCUGCCUCCCAAGUCUAAAUGAGAAAAGGAUGUUCAGAAGGGAACCCUUAAAGGAAACGGCUUGGACCUGCCCUGGCUAGAUCGAUACUGAUCGUUAUUGACCCCGCGAAGCGGGAAGAUUGCUUGAGGCCAGGAGUUCAAGACCAGCCUGAGCAACAUAGGGAAACCCCC